This 273-nucleotide ribosomal RNA is filed under the name Bacillus cereus. Its description in RNAcentral is "partial 16S ribosomal RNA". It matches the Rfam family "Bacterial small subunit ribosomal RNA", at positions 552 to 824 of the family's 1533-position model. Lineage: Bacteria; Bacillati; Bacillota; Bacilli; Caryophanales; Bacillaceae. The record is from RNAcentral.
UAUUGGGGCGUAAGCGCGCGCAGGUGGUUUCUUAAGUCUGAUGUGAAAGCCCACGGCUCAACCGUGGAGGGUCAUUGGAAACUGGGAGACUUGAGUGCAUAAGAGGAAAGUGGAAUUCCAUGUGUAGCGGUGAAAUGCGUAGAGAUAUGGAGGAACACCAGUGGCGAAGGCGACUUUCUGGUCUGUAACUGACACUGAGGCGCGAAAGCGUGGGGAGCAAACAGGAUUAGAUACCCUGGUAGUCCACGCCGUAAACGAUGAGUGCUAAGUGUU